AGCAGUAGCCGCGGUAAUACGAAGGGGGCUAGCGUUGUUCGGAUUUACUGGGCGUAAAGGGUGCGUAGGCGGAUUGUUAAGUCAGGGGUGAAAUCCCGAGGCUCAACCUCGGAACUGCCUUUGAUACUGGCGAUCUUGAGUCCGGGAGAGGUGAGUGGAACUGCGAGUGUAGAGGUGAAAUUCGUAGAUAUUCGCAAGAACACCGGUGGCGAAGGCGGCUCACUGGCCCGGUACUGACGCUGAGGCACGAAAGCGUGGGGAGCAAACAGGAUUAGAUACCCCUGUAGUCCCUGUCUCUUAUAA
Molecule: ribosomal RNA, 303 nt
Filed under: uncultured bacterium
Lineage: Bacteria
Description: partial 16S ribosomal RNA
Rfam family: Bacterial small subunit ribosomal RNA
Source: RNAcentral